GAUGAACGCUAGCGGCAGGCCUAACACAUGCAAGUCGAGGGGUAGAAGGAGCUUGCUCCUUUGAGACCGGCGCACGGGUGCGUAACGCGUAUGCAAUCUACCUUGUACAGGGGAAUAGCCCAGAGAAAUUUGGAUUAAUGCCCCAUAGUAUAUAACCUUCGCAUGUUGGUUAUAUUAAAGUUCCAACGGUACAAGAUGAGCAUGCGUCCCAUUAGUUAGUUGGUAAGGUAACGGCUUACCAAGACGAUGAUGGGUAGGGGUCCUGAGAGGGAGAUCCCCCACACUGGUACUGAGACACGGACCAGACUCCUACGGGAGGCAGCAGUGAGGAAUAUUGGUCAAUGGUCGCAAGACUGAACCAGCCAUGCCGCGUGCAGGAAGACGGUCCUAUGGAUUGUAAACUGCUUUUAGACAGGAAGAAACCCUCCCACGUGUGGGAGCUUGACGGUACUGUAGGAAUAAGGAUCGGCUAACUCCGUG
This 480-nucleotide ribosomal RNA is filed under the name uncultured bacterium. RNAcentral describes it as "partial 16S ribosomal RNA". It matches the Rfam family "Bacterial small subunit ribosomal RNA", at positions 28 to 507 of the family's 1533-position model. The record is from RNAcentral.